UACGUAGGGUGCGAGCGUUAAUCGGAAUUACUGGGCGUAAAGCGUGCGCAGGCGGUUUUGUAAGCCAGGUGUGAAAUCCCCGGGCUCAACCUGGGAAUGGCAUUUGGGACUGCAAGGCUGGAGUGUGGCAGAGGAGACGUGGAAUUCCUGGUGUAGCAGUGAAAUGCGGUAGAUAUCAGGAGGAAUACCGAUGGCGAAGGCAGGUCUCUGGGCUGACACUGACGCUCAUGCACGAAAGCGUGGGGAGCAAACGAGG
Molecule: ribosomal RNA, 256 nt
Filed under: uncultured bacterium
Lineage: Bacteria
Description: partial 16S ribosomal RNA
Rfam family: Bacterial small subunit ribosomal RNA
Source: RNAcentral